UACGGGGGGGGCAAGCGUUGUUCGGAAUUACUGGGCGUAAAGGGCGCGUAGGCGGUUCUUCAAGUCAGUCGUGAAAUCUCCGGGCUUAACCUGGAAGGGUCGAUUGAUACUGUUGAACUAGAGUGUAGAAGAGGCAACUGGAAUUCCGUGUGUAGCGGUGAAAUGCGUAGAUAUACGGAGGAACACCUGCGGCGAAGGCGGGUUGCUGGGCUAACACUGACGCUGAGGCGCGAAAGCUAGGGUAGCAAACGGG
Molecule: ribosomal RNA, 253 nt
Filed under: uncultured bacterium
Lineage: Bacteria
Description: partial 16S ribosomal RNA
Rfam family: Bacterial small subunit ribosomal RNA
Source: RNAcentral